GAUGAAGAACGCAGCGAAAUGCGAUAAGUAAUGUGAAUUGCAGAAUUCAGUGAAUCAUCGAAUCUUUGAACGCCCAUUGCGACCGCCAGUAUUCUGGCGGGCAUGCCUGUUCGAGCGUCAUUACAACCCUCAGGCCCCCGGGCCUGGCGUUGGGGAUCGGCGGAAGCCCCCUGUGGGCACACGCCGUCCCUCAAAUACAGUGGCGGUCCCGCCGCAGCUUCCAUUGCGUAGUAGCUAACACCUCGCUACUGGAGAGCGGCGCGGCCAUGCCGUAAAACACCCAACUUCUGAAUGUUGACCUCGAAUCAGGUAGGAAUACCCGCUGAACUUAAGCAUAUCAAUAAGCGGAGGA
Molecule: unclassified non-coding RNA, 352 nt
Filed under: soil metagenome
Description: partial contains 5.8S ribosomal RNA, internal transcribed spacer 2, and large subunit ribosomal RNA
Rfam family: 5.8S ribosomal RNA (bases 1-120)
Source: RNAcentral